This 935-nucleotide ribosomal RNA is filed under the name uncultured archaeon. RNAcentral's name for it is "partial 16S ribosomal RNA". It matches the Rfam family "Archaeal small subunit ribosomal RNA", at positions 1 to 922 of the family's 1478-position model. The record is from RNAcentral.
UUCCGGUUGAUCCUGCCGGACCCGACUGCUAUUUGGGUGAGGAUAAGCCAUGCGAGUUGAAUGGGAAACCUAAAGUUCCCAUGGCAAACUGCUCAGUAACACAUGAUCAACUUACCCUAUAGAGAAAAAUAACCUCGGGAAACUGAGGAUAAUGUUUCAUAGUUGAAUUGGCUUGGAAAAGUUUUUCGACGAAAGGGGUAAAAAAAAUGGUUUUUAUCUGCUAUAGGAUAGGAUCGUGUUCGAUUAUGGUUGUUGAUGAGGUAAUGGCUCACCAAGCCGAUAAUCGAUAGGGGCCGUGAGAGCGGGAGCCCCGAGAUGGGUACUGAGACAACGACCCAGGCCUUACGAGGCGCAGCAGGCGCGAAACCUCCGCAAUACACGAAAGUGUGACGGGGUUACCCAAAGUGUUCAAUUUUGAACUGUGGUAGGUGAGUAAUGUUCCCUACUAGAGAGGAGAGGGCAAGGCUGGUGCCAGCCGCCGCGGUAAAACCAGCUCUUCAAGUGGUCGGGAUAAUUAUUGGGCUUAAAGUGUCCGUAGCCGGUUUGGUAAGUUCCUGGUAAAAUCGGGUAGCUUAACUAUCUAUAUGCUAGGAAUACUACUAUACUAGAGGGCGGGAGAGGUCUGAGGUACUACAGGGGUAGGGGUGAAAUCUUAUAAUCCUUGUUGGACCACCAGUGGCGAAGGCGUCAGACUGGAACGCGCCUGACGGUGAGGGACGAAUGCCAGGGGAGCGAACCGGAUUAGAUACCCGGGUAGUCCUGGCCGUAAACGAUGCAUACUAGGUGAUGGCACGGCCAUGAGCCGUGUCAGUGCCGUAGGGAAACCGUUAAGUGUGUCGCCUGGGAAGUACGGUCGCAAGGCUAAAACUUAAAGGAAUUGGCGGGGGAGCACCACAAGGGGUGAAGCCUGCGGUUCAAUUGGAUUCAACGCCGGA